This 714-nucleotide ribosomal RNA is filed under the name Pseudomonas aeruginosa. RNAcentral describes it as "bacterial SSU rRNA". It matches the Rfam family "Bacterial small subunit ribosomal RNA", at positions 53 to 750 of the family's 1533-position model. Lineage: Bacteria; Pseudomonadati; Pseudomonadota; Gammaproteobacteria; Pseudomonadales; Pseudomonadaceae. The record is from RNAcentral.
ACAUGCAAGUCGAGCGGAUGAAGAGAGCUUGCUCUCUGAUUUAGCGGCGGACGGGUGAGUAAUGCCUAGGAAUCUGCCUGGUAGUGGGGGAUAACGUUCCGAAAGGAACGCUAAUACCGCAUACGUCCUACGGGAGAAAGCAGGGGACCUUCGGGCCUUGCGCUAUCAGAUGAGCCUAGGUCGGAUUAGCUAGUUGGUGGGGUAAAGGCUCACCAAGGCGACGAUCCGUAACUGGUCUGAGAGGAUGAUCAGUCACACUGGAACUGAGACACGGUCCAGACUCCUACGGGAGGCAGCAGUGGGGAAUAUUGGACAAUGGGCGAAAGCCUGAUCCAGCCAUGCCGCGUGUGUGAAGAAGGUCUUCGGAUUGUAAAGCACUUUAAGUUGGGAGGAAGGGUUGUAACCUAAUACGUUGCAAUUUUGACGUUACCGACAGAAUAAGCACCGGCUAACUUCGUGCCAGCAGCCGCGGUAAUACGAAGGGUGCAAGCGUUAAUCGGAAUUACUGGGCGUAAAGCGCGCGUAGGUGGUUCAGCAAGUUUGAAUGUGAAAGCCCUGGGCUCAACCUNGGAACUGCAUUCCAAACUACCUGAAGCUAAAAGUACCGGUANAANGGUNAUGGNAAUUUUCCUGUGUAGCCGGUGAAAUGCNUUANAUAUUGGGAAAGGAACACCCANUGGCGNAAAGCGNACUUACCCUGGGACUGANACUUGA